AUACCCCAUAGGCCGAGAGGUUAAAGCAGAGAUGCGCUGGAGGAGGUGCUCGUGCCCUAUCAGCUAGUUGGUGAGGUAACGGCUCACCAAGGCGACGACGGGUAGCCGGCCUGAGAGGGUGAACGGCCACACUGGAACUGAGAUACGGUCCAGACUCCUACGGGAGGCAGCAGUGGGGAAUAUUGGGCAAUGGGAGGAAUCCUGACCCAGCGACGCCGCGUGAACGAUGAAGGCCUUAGGGUUGUAAAGUUCUUUUAUGUGGGAAGAAGGAAGUGACGGUACCACAUGAAUAAGCCCCGGCUAACUACGUGCCAGCAGCCGCGGUAAUACGUAGGGGGCGAGCGUUGUCCGGAAUUACUGGGCGUAAAGGGCACGCAGGCUGUGCUUCAAGUCAGCUGUAAAAGGAUGCGGCUUAACCGUGUUAUGCAGUUGAGACUGAGGUGCUGGAGUACCGGAGAGGCAAGUGGAAUUCCCAGUGUAGCGGUGAAAUGCGUAGAUAUUGGGAAGAACAUCGGUGGCGAAGGCGACUUGCUGGACGGUAACUGACGCUGAGGUGCGAAAGCCAGGGUAGCGAACGGGAUUAGAUACCCCGGUAGUCCUGGCUGUAAACGAUGAAUGCUAGGUGUGCGAGCAGAGAUGUUGGCGUGC
Molecule: ribosomal RNA, 648 nt
Filed under: uncultured Fretibacterium sp.
Lineage: Bacteria; Thermotogati; Synergistota; Synergistia; Synergistales; Aminobacteriaceae
Description: bacterial SSU rRNA
Rfam family: Bacterial small subunit ribosomal RNA
Source: RNAcentral